UGCAAAGGAAAUGCAAUGAGUAGCACGAUAAUUAACCAAACUUAUUUUUGGGCAAGCUCUGGUUUUUAGCAUAACACAAUCAUCCAAACACAUGUAAGAAGUCAAUAGUUUGGUGGUUUGGAUAGAAGGAUAUUUAUAGGAAGGCAACUUAUGAGGUAGCCAGCAGUAAUAAUGCGUUCAUCCCAAAAAGAGAUUGGUAAACUAACCUAAAAACACGGAACAUGAGCAACCUUAAGAAGGUUCUGGUGUUUGCAUUCAGCUAUACCAUUCUGUUGGGGUGUAUCACAUGUUCAUUGAUGAAUAAUACCAUUUUGACAAAAAAAGCUGAAAGAUUUGCAUAGAAGUAAACUUACCUCCGUUAUUAAUCCUAAUCUGUUGGACUUGAUAAUGAAAUUGUGUUUGAACUAUGGUUUCAUAUCUUGAUGGGGCAUUCUGCAAG
RNAcentral lists this long non-coding RNA (439 nucleotides) under Elaeis guineensis (African oil palm). RNAcentral's name for it is "long non-coding RNA (EGUI_LNC009913)". The record is from RNAcentral. Lineage: Eukaryota; Viridiplantae; Streptophyta; Magnoliopsida; Arecales; Arecaceae.